Molecule: ribosomal RNA, 793 nt
Filed under: uncultured Gemmatimonas sp.
Lineage: Bacteria; Pseudomonadati; Gemmatimonadota; Gemmatimonadia; Gemmatimonadales; Gemmatimonadaceae
Description: bacterial SSU rRNA
Rfam family: Bacterial small subunit ribosomal RNA
Source: RNAcentral
GAACGCUGGCGGCGUGCUUAACACAUGCAAGUCACGGGGGCCCGCAAGGGUAACCGGCGAACGGGUGCGUAACACGUGAACAAUCUGCCUAGAUGUGGGGGAUAGCCGGCCCAACGGCCGGGUAAUACCGCAUACGCUCACCGGGUGGCAUCACCUGGUGAGGAAACCUCCGGGGCAUCUAGAGGAGUUCGCGGCCUAUCAGCUAGUUGGUGGGGUAACGGCCUACCAAGGCGAUGACGGGUAGCUGGUCUGAGAGGAUGGCCAGCCACAUUGGGACUGAGAUACGGCCCAGACUCCUACGGGAGGCAGCAGUGGGGAAUAUUGCGCAAUGGCCGAAAGGCUGACGCAGCGACGCCGCGUGGGGGAUGAAGCAUUUCGGUGUGUAAACCCCUGUUGCCCGGGACGAACAACUGGAUUCUUCCAGUCUGACGGUACCGGGUGAGGAAGCACCGGCUAACUCCGUGCCAGCAGCCGCGGUAAUACGGAGGGUGCGAGCGUUGUCCGGAAUCACUGGGCGUAAAGGGCGCGUAGGCGGUCUGCUAAGCGUGCGGUGAAAGCCCGGGGCUCAACCCCGGGUCUGCCGUGCGAACUGGUGGACUAGAGCACUGUAGAGGCGAGUGGAAUUCCGGGUGUAGCGGUGGAAUGCGUAGAGAUCCGGAAGAACACCGGUGGCGAAGGCGGCUCGCUGGGCAGUAGCUGACGCUGAGGCGCGAUAGCGUGGGGAGCAAACAGGAUUAGAUACCCUGGUAGUCCACGCCGUAAACGAUGGGGACUAGGUGCUUGGGGGAACGAC